Long non-coding RNA from Drosophila innubila, 287 nucleotides. RefSeq lists it as uncharacterized. Lineage: Eukaryota; Metazoa; Arthropoda; Insecta; Diptera; Drosophilidae. The transcript is spliced from 2 exons. The record is from RefSeq and is a predicted model, not a curated record.
AAACUGAGAAAAAUAGAGCAUUGGGAGGAAGAAUGUGUAGCAGCCCUUAUACGAGUUGUGUUGCAGCCAUGGAUCUGGGGCAUAGAUUGCUCCACAGUGUGUGGCAACGCAAUGAGGCGAGUGGCAGCAGCUGUCACAGCUGUGUUAAAUCGAAAAAGGGGGCGGUGUGGAAGGAGGAGCGAACAAAAUCUGACAGGAAGCAUUUUUGUGACAAGCGCACAAGUUUCACGCUUCAAUGUGCAACGGCUACACUGACAGCGGUAGCAGUUGGGUAAGCGAGAGGGAGA